GUUCGAGGAUGUACUCGAGAUGACGGAAAUUCGUUGAUCACCGCGCGCACCGCGCGCCGUUAAACUCAACUUACAUCGUGUAGGGUACAUGUAACAAUCCCUCAAGACUUUCCGUUCUACAAACCGCAUCGGUUUUAAGAAGGAAUUGGGAAAAAGAAUAAGAAUGAAGAUUAACAGAGGACAGAGAGAAGAUACACAUGUCAUGAGUCAUGACAUGGCGGAGGAAAAGCAAGAGAUGAAGUUG
Solenopsis invicta (red fire ant) is the source of this 244-nucleotide long non-coding RNA. RefSeq lists it as uncharacterized. The record is from RefSeq and is a predicted model, not a curated record. Lineage: Eukaryota; Metazoa; Arthropoda; Insecta; Hymenoptera; Formicidae. The transcript has 2 exons.